This is a non-coding RNA of Labrus bergylta (ballan wrasse), 879 nucleotides long. NCBI's taxonomy places the organism in Eukaryota, Metazoa, Chordata, Actinopteri, Labriformes, Labridae. The record is from RefSeq and is a predicted model, not a curated record.
GACCCCAUGCACACAAGAAAGGUGUGCUUUGACGCCGUCUCCCACAGCAGCCCCGUCACCCUGUACGACUGUCACGGCAUGAAGGGGAACCAGCUGUGGCGCUACAGAAAGGAUAAAAGUCUGUAUCACCCCGUCAGUAACAGCUGCAUCGACUGCAGCCCGAGCGAGCGGCGAGUCUUCAUGAACGCGUGCGACCCGUCCUCCCUGAGCCAGCAGUGGCUGUUUGAGAGAACCAACGCAACCGUGCUGGACCACUUCAACCGGGGCGCCAACUGAGGCAAUCAAGUGAUCACAAUCCAAACUAGAGGUGAACACUGUGCUGCUUCAGCGAAGUUCCUCAUGGCUCUGCGGGGGAUCUGGUGCACGGGCUGAGAGCUGAAGAGACCGCACGUUAUCAACAUCCAGAUUACAGUCGUACAGCACGAGUCUGUGAUGAGGAAGGAGGAUGGGAGAGCCGUGGUGAAACCUGAUCGUCCUGCACAAACGGAGCACUGACACCCUGAUCUUUGGACAUCACGUGUUUCUAAGUGUUGGGACUUUGUGAGGACGCUCCCGUCUUUCUCAUGUGACUCCCUAAAACACAGACUCUGUAGGACUCAACAGAUUGUCUUUUACAACGCCUCUUUCAUCACAUCUUUUUCAACUGUUGCCUUAGCAUUUCCAACAAUAGGAAAUACCAGCCCCCCACCCCCCUUGUGCAGAGGUACCUUGGUAGCAUAUUGUGUGGACUGAUUCUGCAGCUUUAACUCUGUGAGAGCUGGAGGAAACAUUCGAAAAACUGUAAAGAAGUGUUCCUGCAAAGCGCAACAAAGUCUCUGUCUCUGUCAGAUCAACAACUUGUACAAACUCGUAUCCAAAGUUGCAAAUGUUUAUUUUUCU